UGGAAGGUGAUCCUGACGUUCUUUGUGGGU
This 30-nucleotide non-coding RNA is filed under the name Homo sapiens (human). The record is from RNAcentral. Lineage: Eukaryota; Metazoa; Chordata; Mammalia; Primates; Hominidae.